GUGUCAGCCGCCGCGGUAAUACGUAGGGUGCGAGCGUUAAUCGGAAUUACUGGGCGUAAAGCGUGCGCAGGCGGUUUUGAAAGUCAGAUGUGAAAUCCCCGAGCUCAACCUGGGAACUGCGUUUGAAACUCCAAAGCUAGAGUAUAGGAGAGGGGGGUAGAAUUCCACGUGUAGCAGUGAAAUGCGUAGAGAUGUGGAGGAAUACCAAUGGCGAAGGCAGCCCCCUGGCCUAAUACUGACGCUCAUGCACGAAAGCGUGGGGAGCAAACAGGAUUAGAAACCCUAGUAGUCC
Molecule: ribosomal RNA, 292 nt
Filed under: uncultured Methylophilaceae bacterium
Lineage: Bacteria; Pseudomonadati; Pseudomonadota; Betaproteobacteria; Nitrosomonadales; Methylophilaceae
Description: partial 16S ribosomal RNA
Rfam family: Bacterial small subunit ribosomal RNA
Source: RNAcentral